RNAcentral lists this ribosomal RNA (449 nucleotides) under uncultured bacterium. Its description in RNAcentral is "partial 16S ribosomal RNA". It matches the Rfam family "Bacterial small subunit ribosomal RNA", at positions 29 to 523 of the family's 1533-position model. The record is from RNAcentral.
AACGAACGCUGGCGGCAUGCCUAACACAUGCAAGUCGAACGAGAUCUUCGGGUCUAGUGGCGCACGGGUGCGUAACGCGUGGGAAUCUGCCCGUUGGUUCGGAAGAACAGUUUGAAACGACUGCUAAUACCGGAUGAUGACGCAAGUCCAAAGAUUUAUCGCCAGAGGAUGAGCCCGCGUAGGAUUAGCUAGUGGGUGUGGUAAAGGCGCAACAAGGCGACGAUCCUUAGCUGGUCUGAGAGGAUGAUCAGCGACACUGGGACUGAGACCCGGCCCAGACUCCUACGGGAGGCAGCAGUGGGUAAUAUUGGACAAUGGGCGAAAGCCUGAUCCAGCAAUGCCGCGUGAGUGAUGAAGGCCUUAGGGUUGUAAAGCUCUUUUACCCGGGAUGAUAAUGACAGUACCGGGAGAAUAAGCUCCGGCUAACUCCGUGCCAGCCGCCGCCGUAA